Molecule: ribosomal RNA, 795 nt
Filed under: Salmonella enterica subsp. enterica serovar Derby
Lineage: Bacteria; Pseudomonadati; Pseudomonadota; Gammaproteobacteria; Enterobacterales; Enterobacteriaceae
Description: partial 23S ribosomal RNA
Rfam family: Bacterial large subunit ribosomal RNA
Source: RNAcentral
GACUCAGUGAAAUUGAACUCGCUGUGAAGAUGCAGUGUACCCGCGGCAAGACGGAAAGACCCCGUGAACCUUUACUAUAGCUUGACACUGAACAUUGAGCCUUGAUGUGUAGGAUAGGUGGGAGGCUUUGAAGUGUGGACGCCAGUCUGCAUGGAGCCGACCUUGAAAUACCACCCUUUAAUGUUUGAUGUUCUAACGUGGACCCGUAAUCCGGGUUGCGGACAGUGUCUGGUGGGUAGUUUGACUGGGGCGGUCUCCUCCUAAAGAGUAACGGAGGAGCACGAAGGUUGGCUAAUCCUGGUCGGACAUCAGGAGGUUAGUGCAAUGGCAUAAGCCAGCUUGACUGCGAGCGUGACGGCGCGAGCAGGUGCGAAAGCAGGUCAUAGUGAUCCGGUGGUUCUGAAUGGAAGGGCCAUCGCUCAACGGAUAAAAGGUACUCCGGGGAUAACAGGCUGAUACCGCCCAAGAGUUCAUAUCGACGGCGGUGUUUGGCACCUCGAUGUCGGCUCAUCACAUCCUGGGGCUGAAGUAGGUCCCAAGGGUAUGGCUGUUCGCCAUUUAAAGUGGUACGCGAGCUGGGUUUAGAACGUCGUGAGACAGUUCGGUCCCUAUCUGCCGUGGGCGCUGGAGAACUGAGGGGGGCUGCUCCUAGUACGAGAGGACCGGAGUGGACGCAUCACUGGUGUUCGGGUUGUCAUGCCAAUGGCACUGCCCGGUAGCUAAAUGCGGAAGAGAUAAGUGCUGAAAGCAUCUAAGCACGAAACUUGCCCCGAGAUGAGUUCUCCCUGAGACUUA